RNAcentral lists this ribosomal RNA (477 nucleotides) under uncultured bacterium. RNAcentral's name for it is "bacterial SSU rRNA". It matches the Rfam family "Bacterial small subunit ribosomal RNA", at positions 32 to 517 of the family's 1533-position model. The record is from RNAcentral.
AAUCAACGCUGGCGGCGUGCCUCAGACAUGCAAGUCGAACGAUUAAAGCUCUCUUCGGAGAGUGUAUAGAGUGGCGCACGGGUGAGUAACACGUAAGUAAUCUACCUUUGAGUGGGGAAUAACAGUCGGAAACGACUGCUAAUACCGCAUAAUGCAGCGGCAUCGCAAGAUGACAGUUGUUAAAGGAGCAAUCCGCUUAAAGAGGAGCUUGCGGCAGAUUAGCUAGUUGGUAAGGUAAUGGCUUACCAAGGCUACGAUCUGUAUCCGGUCUAAGAGGACGGUCGGACACACUGACACUGAAUAACGGGUCAGACUCCUACGGGAGGCAGCAGUCGGGAAUUUUGGGCAAUGGGCGAAAGCCUGACCCAGCAACGCCGCGUGAAGGAUGAAGUAUUUCGGUAUGUAAACUUCGAAAGAAUGGGAAGAAUAAAUGACGGUACCAUCUAUAAGGUCCGGCUAACUACGUGCCAGCAGCCG